CCUACGGGAGGCUGCAGUGAGGAAUAUUGGUCAAUGGGCGCGAGCCUGAACCAGCCAAGCAGCGUGAAGGAUGAAUGCCCUACGGGUUGUAAACUUCUUUUAUAAAGGAAUACAGUGAGGCACGUGUGCCUUUUUGUAUGUACUUUAUGAAUAAGGCUCGGCUAACUCCGUGCCAGCAGCCGCGGUAAUACGGAGGAUCCGAGCGUUGUUCGGAUUUAUUGGGUUUAAAGGGAGCGUAGAUGGGUUGUUAAGUCAGUUGUGAAAGUUUGCGGCUCAACCCUAAAAUUGCAAUUGAUACUGGCAGACUUGAGUGCAGGUGAGGUAGGCGGAAUUCGUGGUGUAGCGGUGAAAUGCUUAGAUAUCACGAAGAACUCCGAUUGCGAAGGCAGCCUACUA
Molecule: ribosomal RNA, 396 nt
Filed under: uncultured bacterium
Lineage: Bacteria
Description: partial 16S ribosomal RNA
Rfam family: Bacterial small subunit ribosomal RNA
Source: RNAcentral